AGAUUGAACGCUGGCGGCAGGCCUAACACAUGCAAGUCGAGCGCGAAAGUUCCUUCGGGAAUGAGUAGAGCGGCGGACGGGUGAGUAACGCGUAGGAAUUUGCCCAGUAGUGGGGGACAACUCGGGGAAACUCGAGCUAAUACCGCAUACGCCCCAAGGGGGAAAGCAGGGGAUCUUCGGACCUUGCGCUAUUGGAUAAGCCUGCGUCGGAUUAGCUAGUUGGUGGGGUAAGGCCUACCAAGGCAACGAUCCGUAGCUGGUCUGAGAGGAUGAUCAGCCACACUGGACUGAGACACGGCCCAGACUCCUACGGGAGGCAGCAGUGGGGAAUAUUGGACAAUGGGGGGCAACCCGUGAUCCAGCCAUGCCGCGUGUGUGAAGAAGGCCUUAGGGUUGUAAAGCACUUUCAGUGGGAAGGAAAAGCGUGGCGGACUAAUACUCCGGUCCGGCCCGUGUACCGUUACCCAC
This 468-nucleotide ribosomal RNA is filed under the name uncultured soil bacterium. Its description in RNAcentral is "bacterial SSU rRNA". It matches the Rfam family "Bacterial small subunit ribosomal RNA", at positions 26 to 482 of the family's 1533-position model. The record is from RNAcentral.